CGUUCUGUGGCUGAAAAAAGCGUAAAUCUUUUAAAUUUAUUAUAGACCCUCUCUGAACGA
RNAcentral lists this transfer RNA (60 nucleotides) under Grandidierella japonica. Its description in RNAcentral is "tRNA-Lys". Lineage: Eukaryota; Metazoa; Arthropoda; Malacostraca; Amphipoda; Corophiidae. The record is from RNAcentral.